UGCCUGUUCGAGCGUCAUUUCAACCCUCAAGCUCUGCUUGGUAUUGGAUGUCACCACUUGUGGUGUGUCCCAAAAGCAUUGGCAGUGGCAUUUGGCUUCUAGUGUAGUAAUUUUCUCGCUCUGGAGCCUUAAAUGUCUACCUGCCAGAACUCUCUAUCAAGGUUGACCUCGGAUCAGGUAGGGAUACCCGCUGAACUUAA
This 200-nucleotide unclassified non-coding RNA is filed under the name soil metagenome. Its description in RNAcentral is "partial contains internal transcribed spacer 2 and large subunit ribosomal RNA". The record is from RNAcentral.